AUGGUCCCUGAGCUGGUGCAUGUAGGUUUCCAUUCUUCUGCCAGACCCUGGGCUGCGGCUUGCAGACGUUUUGCCCAUCAUCAGUUCUCCAUGCUAUUAUUUGACAAGUUCAGGCUGAAACAUAGUCCUGAGUGCUUUGCACAUGCUCUUGCUUCUCACUACAGCCCUUAUUCUGGGGGCAAAUGCGGCAUCCAGUGGUGGUUCUUUGAUGUCAUAGGACAGGAGAGUCCUGGGGAACUGCAACAUUCCGGAGAGCACCCGAGGGUGUGCCCCGGAUACAGAACCCACGCCCUAGCAGAGGGAGAGAAAACAAGUCUUUUUCAAAAGCACUUUGCAUGGCCCAGGCACCGUGCUAGGCAUUGGGGGCAUAACCAGGAACAAGACAGACCCAGUCAGCCCUUCCAGAAAUUACAGACCCAAAGGAGUGGUCCUCAGACAUUGGGUCACCACUGCACCAGUAACCUACAGAGGAGGAAACUGGGGCUUAGGGAGGAGUGCCUUGCUCAAGGUUUCAAAGCUGCACUGUCACUAGAACACAUCUUCUGACUCCCAGUCCAGUGCUCUCUGC
RNAcentral lists this long non-coding RNA (568 nucleotides) under Mustela putorius furo (domestic ferret). RNAcentral describes it as "lncRNA (ENSMPUG00000023880.1)". Lineage: Eukaryota; Metazoa; Chordata; Mammalia; Carnivora; Mustelidae. The record is from RNAcentral.